This is a long non-coding RNA of Argiope bruennichi, 489 nucleotides long. RefSeq lists it as uncharacterized. The record is from RefSeq and is a predicted model, not a curated record. NCBI's taxonomy places the organism in Eukaryota, Metazoa, Arthropoda, Arachnida, Araneae, Araneidae. The transcript has 2 exons.
CAGACAAUACAAUCGGCAUAAUGGAAAAAAGUUGUCUCAUAUGGACAAUUAUACAUCUCAUGUGGACAAUAAUUGGGAGUAUAUGACCUACCUUACUAAGCUACAAUAGUUGUUUUCGUGUGAACGCUGCUCUUGGCAUUAUAUUUUUGACAGAAAUUCUAUGUGUGUGGGAAAUCAAUGAAAUGACAGCACUAAAGAAGAAGCUUAUUACCUGCAUAGUUCUCUUGACAAUAUAAUGUCAAAGCUAUUUCUGCUACGUCAGAGAGACGUGUUUCCUGUCAGUUCUGCUCCCUGGAAGGAGUGGCGCCUUAGUCUGCAUCAACAUGUUAUAUGGCACUUGAAAGAACUGAAAGCAGAAUUUUAUAUUUUUCUAUCAAUAUCUAUGAUAGUAAAACCUAUGUUUCUACUACCUCUUCACAUUUGACCCUUUCUAUUUGAUUCAACUUGUAAUUUCUGAUUGAUUACUUUCAUUAAACAUACAUGCAUGUA